UGGGUUUUCACGAGUCGCCCA
This 21-nucleotide non-coding RNA is filed under the name Arabidopsis thaliana (thale cress). Lineage: Eukaryota; Viridiplantae; Streptophyta; Magnoliopsida; Brassicales; Brassicaceae. The record is from RNAcentral.